GUAGUCAUAUGCUUGUCUCAAAGAUUAAGCCAUGCAUGUCUAAGUAUAAACAAAUUUGUACUGUGAAACUGCGAAUGGCUCAUUAAAUCAGUUAUAGUUUAUUUGAUGGUACUUUGCUACAUGGAUAACUGUGGUAAUUCUAGAGCUAAUACAUGCAAUCAAGCCCCGACUCACGGAGGGGUGUAUUUAUUAGAUAAAAAACCAAUGCGGUUCGCCGCUCCUUGGUGAUUCAUAAUAACUGUUCGAAUCGCAUGGCCUUGCGCCGGCGAUGCUUCAUUCAAAUAUCUGCCCUAUCAACUUUCGAUGGUAGGAUAGUGGCCUACCAUGGUUUCAACGGGUAACGGGGAAUAAGGGUUCGAUUCCGGAGAGGGAGCCUGAGAAACGGCUACCACAUCCAAGGAAGGCAGCAGGCGCGCAAAUUACCCAAUCCCGACACGGGGAGGUAGUGACAAUAAAUAACAAUAUAGGGCUCUUUUGGGUCUUAUAAUUGGAAUGAGUACAAUUUAAAUCCCUUAACGAGGAACAAUUGGAGGGCAAGUCUGGUGCCAGCAGCC
RNAcentral lists this ribosomal RNA (554 nucleotides) under uncultured fungus. RNAcentral's name for it is "SSU rRNA". It matches the Rfam family "Eukaryotic small subunit ribosomal RNA", at positions 20 to 575 of the family's 1831-position model. The record is from RNAcentral. Lineage: Eukaryota; Fungi.